AACUCUUAGCAGUGGAUCUCAUGGCUUGCACAUCAAUGAAGAACGCAGCUAGCUGUGGGCAUUCAUGUGAACUGCAGGACACGUUGCUCAUCAACACUGCGAAUGCACUUGUGGCCCCAGGUUCCUCCCGGGGUUAUGUCUGUCUGAACGUGA
This 153-nucleotide ribosomal RNA is filed under the name Pelecanus crispus (Dalmatian pelican). RNAcentral's name for it is "5.8S ribosomal RNA". It matches the Rfam family "5.8S ribosomal RNA". Rfam says of the family: 5.8S ribosomal RNA (5.8S rRNA) is a component of the large subunit of the eukaryotic ribosome. Lineage: Eukaryota; Metazoa; Chordata; Aves; Pelecaniformes; Pelecanidae. The record is from Rfam by way of RNAcentral.